RNAcentral lists this ribosomal RNA (595 nucleotides) under uncultured bacterium. RNAcentral describes it as "bacterial SSU rRNA". It matches the Rfam family "Bacterial small subunit ribosomal RNA", at positions 97 to 691 of the family's 1533-position model. The record is from RNAcentral.
GGCGCACGGGUGCGUAACACGUAUGCAACCUACCUUAUAGACGGGGAUAGCCUUUGGAAACGGAGAUUAAUACCCGAUAGUAUAUAUUGAUGGCAUCAUUAGUAUAUUAAAGAUUUAUUGCUAUAAGCUGGGCAUGCGUCCAAUUAGUUAGUUGGUUAGGUAAUGGCUGACCAAGACGAUGAUUGGUAGGGGAACUGAGAGGUUAAUCCCCCACACUGGCACUGAGAUACGGGCCAGACUCCUACGGGAGGCAGCAGUAGGGAAUAUUGGGCAAUGGAGGCAACUCUGACCCAGCCAUGCCGCGUGCAGGAUGAAGGCGUUAUGCGUUGUAAACUGCUUUUAUAUAGGAAGAAACAGACCUUGCGAGGUAAUUUGACGGUACUAUAUGAAUAAGCACCGGCUAACUCCGUGCCAGCAGCCGCGGUAACACGGAGGGUGCAAGCGUUGUCCGGAUUUAUUGGGUUUAAAGGGUGCGUAGGCGGUUUAUUAAGUCAGUGGUGAAAGACGGUCGCUCAACGAUUGCAGUGCCAUUGAUACUGGUAGACUUGAGUGAGAUUGAGGUAGCUGGAAUGGAUAGUGUAGCGGUGAAAUGCAU